This 781-nucleotide ribosomal RNA is filed under the name Saxomyces sp. Its description in RNAcentral is "SSU rRNA". It matches the Rfam family "Eukaryotic small subunit ribosomal RNA", at positions 38 to 829 of the family's 1831-position model. Lineage: Eukaryota; Fungi; Ascomycota; Dothideomycetes. The record is from RNAcentral.
CAAAGAUUAAGCCAUGCAUGUCUAAGUAUAAGCAAUCUAUACGGUGAAACUGCGAAUGGCUCAUUAAAUCAGUUAUCGUUUAUUUGAUAGUACCUUACUACAUGGAUAACCGUGGUAAUUCUAGAGCUAAUACAUGCUAAAAACCCCGACUUCGGAAGGGGUGUAUUUAUUAGAUAAAAAACCAGCGCCCUUCGGGGCUCCUUGGUGAUUCAUGAUAACUCAACGAAUCGCAUGGCCUUGCGCCGGCGAUGGUUCAUUCAAAUUUCUGCCCUAUCAACUUUCGAUGGUAGGAUAGUGGCCUACCAUGGUAUCAACGGGUAACGGGGAAUUAGGGUUCUAUUCCGGAGAGGGAGCCUGAGAAACGGCUACCACAUCCAAGGAAGGCAGCAGGCGCGCAAAUUACCCAAUCCCGACACGGGGAGGUAGUGACAAUAAAUACUGAUACAGGGCUCUUUCGGGUCUUGUAAUUGGAAUGAGUACAAUUUAAAUCCCUUAACGAGGAACAAUUGGAGGGCAAGUCUGGUGCCAGCAGCCGCGGUAAUUCCAGCUCCAAUAGCGUAUAUUAAAGUUGUUGCAGUUAAAAAGCUCGUAGUUGAACCUUGGGCCUGGCUGGCCGGUCCGCCUCACCGCGUGUACUGGUCCGGCCGGGCCUUUCCUUCUGGGGAGCCGCAUGCCCUUCACUGGGCGUGCCGGGGAACCAGGACUUUUACUUUGAAAAAAUUAGAGUGUUCAAAGCAGGCCUUUGCUCGAAUACAUUAGCAUGGAAUAAUAGAAUAGGACC